UAGGGAAUAUUGCACAAUGGAGGAAACUCUGAUGCAGCGAUGCCGCGUGAGUGAAGAAGGCCCUUGGGUUGUAAAGCUCUUUCGUCGGGGAUGAAAAUGACUGUACCCGAAUAAGAAGGUCCGGCUAACUUCGUGCCAGCAGCCGCGGUAAUACGAAGGGACCUAGCGUAGUUCGGAAUUACUGGGCUUAAAGAGUUCGUAGGUUGUUAAAAAAGUUGGUGGUGAAAUCCCAGAGCUUAACUCUGGAACUGCCAUCAAAACUUUUUAGCUAGAGUUUGAUAGAGGUUAGUAGAAUUUCCAGUGUAGAGGUGAAAUUCGUAGAUAUUGGAAAGAAUACCAAUUGCGAAGGCAGCUUUCUGGAUCAUUACUGACACUGAGGAACGAAAGCAUGGGUAGCGAAGAGG
This 404-nucleotide ribosomal RNA is filed under the name uncultured bacterium. RNAcentral describes it as "bacterial SSU rRNA". It matches the Rfam family "Bacterial small subunit ribosomal RNA", at positions 355 to 776 of the family's 1533-position model. The record is from RNAcentral.